This 267-nucleotide long non-coding RNA is filed under the name Phasianus colchicus (ring-necked pheasant). RNAcentral describes it as "lncRNA (ENSPCLG00000018071.1)". Lineage: Eukaryota; Metazoa; Chordata; Aves; Galliformes; Phasianidae. The record is from RNAcentral.
AUGAAGUUCUGUGCGCACAUUUGUUCUGUGAAUUUUCAGGGUAGGAGGCAUCUUAGAAAACCAAAUGAAUUCUACCCCUGGGUGCCAAGGUCUUUAAAACAUCAGCUGACUUCUGAGGCUAAAGCUGACACAAACAGAAAGAGAGGCUGUGCAGAAAGUUGUUUGCUUUGCUAUUUUCAGAUAACAGCAUCUCUUCAGUUUGUUGUUCCAAGAUUGCUGAAGAACUUGGCUUGUCAGGCUCUUUCAAGGCUGGGAUCAGCAUUUUGA